CUCUGAAUAACUUUGUCCUGAUCGCACGGUCUCUGCACCGGCGACGCAUCUUUCAAAAGUCUGCCUUAUCAACGGUCGACGGUAGGUUCUGCGCCUACCAUGGUUGUAACGGGUAACGGGGAAUCAGGGUUCGAUUCCGGAGAGGGAGCCUGAGAAACGGCUACCACAUCCAAGGAAGGCAGCAGGCGCGCAAAUUACCCGCUCCCGGCACGGGAAGUAAAGACGAAAAAUAACGAUACGACUCAUCCGAGGCCCCGUAAUCGGAAUGAGUACACUUUAAAUCCUUUAACGAGGAUCCAUUGGAGGGCAAGUCUGGUGCCAGCAGCCGCGGUAAUUCCAGCUCCAAUAGCGUAUAUUAAAGUUGUUGCGGUUAAAAAGCUCGUAGUUAAAUCUGUGUCGCACACCGUCGGUUCACCGCUCGUGGUGUUUAACUGGCAUAAUGUGGGACGUCCUACCGGUGGGCUUAGCCUCGCGAGGGGCGGCCCAACUAAUAUCCCGUCGCGGUGCUCUUUACUGUGUGUCGAGUCGGGCCGGUACGUUUACUUUGAACAAAUUAGAGUGCUUAAAGCAGGCUAUCCUCGCCUGAACACUGCGUGCAUGGAAUAAUGGAAUAGGACCUCGGUUCUAUUUUGUUGGUUUUCGGAACCCUGAGGUAAUGAUUAAUAGGGACAGAUGGAGGCAUUCGUAUUGCGACGUUAGAGGUGAAAUUCUUGGAUCGUCGCAAGACGGACAGAAGCGAAAGCAUUUGCCAAAAAUGUUUCCAUUAAUCAAGAACGAAAGUUAGAGGUUCGAAGGCGAUCAGAUACCGCCCUAGUUCUAACCAUAAACGAUGCCAGAUAGCGAUCCGCCGAAGUUCCUCCGAUGACUCGGCGGGCAGCUUCCGGGAAACCAAAGCUUUUGGGUUCCGGGGGAAGUAUGGUUGCAAAGCUGAAACUUAAAGAAUUGACGGAAGGGCACCACCAGGAGUGGAGCCUGCGGCUUAAUUUGAAUCAACACGGGAAACCUCACCAGGCCCAGACACCGGAAGGAUUGACAGAUUGAUAGCUCUUUCUUGAUUCAGUGGGUGGUGGUGCAUGGCCGUUCUUUUUGGUGGAGCGAUUUGUCUGGUUAAUUCCGAUAACGAACGAGACUCUAGCCUGCUAAAUAGGCGUACCUUAUGGUAUCUUGAAGGCCCCCGGCCUCGGCCGGCGGGUUUUUACUACCAACGUACACACAAAUCUUCUUAGAGGGACAGGCGGCUUCUAGCCGCACGAGAUUGAGCAAUAAUGGGUCUGUAAUGCCCUUAGAUUUUUUGGGCCGCACGCGCGCUACACUGAAGG
RNAcentral lists this ribosomal RNA (1319 nucleotides) under Solenopsis invicta (red fire ant). RNAcentral's name for it is "SSU rRNA". It matches the Rfam family "Eukaryotic small subunit ribosomal RNA", at positions 250 to 1509 of the family's 1831-position model. Lineage: Eukaryota; Metazoa; Arthropoda; Insecta; Hymenoptera; Formicidae. The record is from RNAcentral.